AGAGUUUGAUCCUGGCUCAGGAUGAACGCUGGCGGCGUGCUUAACACAUGCAAGUCGAACGAUGAACCUCACUUGUGGGGGGAUUAGUGGCGAACGGGUGAGUAACACGUGAGUAACCUGCCCUUGACUCUGGGAUAAGCCUGGGAAACCGGGUCUAAUACUGGAUACGAUCUUCUGGCGCAUGCCAUGUUGGUGGAAAGCUUUUGUGGUUUUGGAUGGACUCGCGGCCUAUCAGCUUGUUGGUGGGGUAAUGGCCUACCAAGGCGACGACGGGUAGCCGGCCUGAGAGGGUGACCGGCCACACUGGGACUGAGACACGGCCCAGACUCCUACGGGAGGCAGCAGUGGGGAAUAUUGCACAAUGGGCGCAAGCCUGAUGCAGCGACGCCGCGUGAGGGAUGAAGGCUUUCGGGUUGUAAACCUCUUUCAGUAGGGAAGAAGCCGGCCCUUUGGGUUGGUGACGGUACCUGCAGAAGAAGCGCCGGCUAACUACGUGCCAGCAGCCGCGGUAAUACGUAGGGCGCAAGCGUUAUCCGGAAUUAUUGGGCGUAAAGAGCUCGUAGGCGGUUUGUCGCGUCUGCCGUGAAAGUCCGGGGCUUAACCCCGGAUCUGCGGUGGGUACGGGCAGACUAGAGUGCAGUAGGGGAGACUGGAAUUCCUGGUGUAGCGGAAAUGCGCAGAUAUCAGGAGGAACACCGAUGGCGAAGGCAGGUCUCUGGGCUGUAACUGACGCUGAGGAGCGAAAGCAUGGGGAGCGAACAGGAUUAGAUACCCUAGUAGUCC
Molecule: ribosomal RNA, 783 nt
Filed under: uncultured bacterium
Lineage: Bacteria
Description: bacterial SSU rRNA
Rfam family: Bacterial small subunit ribosomal RNA
Source: RNAcentral